GGGAUUGUAGCUCAGUGGUAGAGCACAUGCCUUGCAUGUAUGAGGCACUGGAUUCGAUUCUC
Molecule: transfer RNA, 62 nt
Filed under: Ictidomys tridecemlineatus (thirteen-lined ground squirrel)
Lineage: Eukaryota; Metazoa; Chordata; Mammalia; Rodentia; Sciuridae
Description: Spermophilus tridecemlineatus (thirteen-lined ground squirrel) tRNA
Rfam family: tRNA
About the family: Transfer RNA (tRNA) molecules are approximately 80 nucleotides in length. Their secondary structure includes four short double-helical elements and three loops (D, anti-codon, and T loops). Further hydrogen bonds mediate the characteristic L-shaped molecular structure. tRNAs have two regions of fundamental functional importance: the anti-codon, which is responsible for specific mRNA codon recognition, and the 3' end, to which the tRNAs corresponding amino acid is attached (by aminoacyl-tRNA synthetases). tRNAs cope with the degeneracy of the genetic code in two manners: having more than one tRNA (with a specific anti-codon) for a particular amino acid; and 'wobble' base-pairing, i.e. permitting non-standard base-pairing at the 3rd anti-codon position.
Source: Rfam by way of RNAcentral